RNAcentral lists this ribosomal RNA (253 nucleotides) under uncultured bacterium. RNAcentral's name for it is "partial 16S ribosomal RNA". It matches the Rfam family "Bacterial small subunit ribosomal RNA", at positions 524 to 776 of the family's 1533-position model. The record is from RNAcentral.
UACAGAGGGUGCGAGCGUUAAUCGGAGUUACUGGGCGUAAAGCGCGCGUAGGCGGCUUUGCAAGUCGGGUGUGAAAUCCCCAGGCUUAACCUGGGAACCGCGCUUGAGACUGGCACGCUCGAGUUCGGGAGAGGAUGGUGGAAUUCCCAGUGUAGAGGUGAAAUUCGUAGAUAUUGGGAAGAACACCGAUGGCGAAGGCAGCCAUCUGGACCGACACUGACGCUGAGGCGCGAAAGCGUGGGGAGCAAACAGG